UGGGAGGUCACUGGUAAACAAUAUAGAGACCCAGGGUGACAUCACAGAGGAAGAUACCAGGAAAUUGAGGUCUAACCUACCCACGAGAAGAAAUUCACAACAAAGAGAAACAGAAGAAACCUUUAGAGAUGGAGAAAUCACCCUGGACCCAAAGAGGAGAAGCUGCAGUAUAACUGCUUGUUCUUCAGGCUGUGUAAUUUGAGCAUGAUACUUAGGAGAAAAACAGCAGCACAGAGCACCAGGGAAAUCUUGAUAUGGGAACCUGGGAGGACCUGGCACCC
Molecule: long non-coding RNA, 281 nt
Organism: Dromiciops gliroides (monito del monte)
Lineage: Eukaryota; Metazoa; Chordata; Mammalia; Microbiotheria; Microbiotheriidae
Exons: 3
Source: RefSeq, a predicted model, not a curated record